Loxodonta africana (African savanna elephant) is the source of this 71-nucleotide transfer RNA. It matches the Rfam family "tRNA". From Rfam's summary of the family: Transfer RNA (tRNA) molecules are approximately 80 nucleotides in length. Their secondary structure includes four short double-helical elements and three loops (D, anti-codon, and T loops). Further hydrogen bonds mediate the characteristic L-shaped molecular structure. tRNAs have two regions of fundamental functional importance: the anti-codon, which is responsible for specific mRNA codon recognition, and the 3' end, to which the tRNAs corresponding amino acid is attached (by aminoacyl-tRNA synthetases). tRNAs cope with the degeneracy of the genetic code in two manners: having more than one tRNA (with a specific anti-codon) for a particular amino acid; and 'wobble' base-pairing, i.e. permitting non-standard base-pairing at the 3rd anti-codon position. The record is from Rfam. Lineage: Eukaryota; Metazoa; Chordata; Mammalia; Proboscidea; Elephantidae.
GCAGCGGUGGUUCAGUGGUAGAAUUCUCACCUUCCAUGCUGCUGACCCGGGUUUGAUUCCCGGCCGAUGCA